AUGGCCACCUUUGCAAAAAUCGCCAUGGAACUCCUCAGGGAUCCACUGAUGUGGCUGUUCUUCGCGUCGCUGGCCUUGGUAGCCAUGCAGAGGCGGCGGCUGGGCAGCGCGCCGUUUCCUCCGGGGCCCAAGUCGCUGCCGGUCAUCGGCAACAUGACGCUGGUGGACCAGCUGACCCACCGCGGCCUAGCUGCGUUAGCGAAGCAGUUCGGCGGGCUGCUGCACCUUCGCUUCGGCUGGCUCCACGUCUUCGCGGUGUCGACGCCCGAGUACGCGCGCGCGGUGCUGCACGAGCAGGACGGCGCCUUCUCGAACCGCCCGGCGACCAUCGCCGUGGUCUACCUCACGUACGGCCGCUCCGACAUGGCGUUCGCGCACAACGGCGCCUACUGGCGCCAGAUGCGCAAGCUCUGCGUCACCAAGAUCUUCAGCCGCCACCGCGCCGAGACGUGGCUCGCCGUGCGCGAAGGGUACGGGGCGCUGGCCCGCGAGGUCGGCCGGCGCAGCGGCGAGGCCGUCAACCUCGGCGAGCUCAUCUUCAACCUCACCGUCAGCGUCAUCUUCCGCGCGGCCUUCAGCACCCGCGACGAGGACGGGCUCAUCGAGUUCGUCGCCAUCCUCCAGGAGUUCUCGAGGCUGCUAGGAUUGUUCCACAUCGGUGACUUCUUCCCGUGGCUCGCCUGGGUGGGCCGUCGUGGCUUCAACCGCCGGCUCAGCACGGCGCGCGGCGCUCUCGACAGGUUUAUCGACAAGAUCGUCGACGAGCACAUGAGGAGGGGCAAGAACCCGGCAGACCCCGACGCCGACUUGGUAGAUGGCCUGCUCGCCUUCCUCGCCAACGCAAACCCAGUCAGCGGCAAGCGCAGAGAGGACGCUCUCCGCCUCACGCGGGAUAAUGUCAAAGCUAUGAUCAUGGACAUGUUAUUUGGUGGACCGGAAACCGUGGGGUCCACCACCGAGUGGGCGAUGGCAGAGAUGAUGCGCAGCCCAGGCGAGCUCGAGCGGCUACAGCAGGAGCUCGCCGAUGUGGUGGGGCUCGACCGGGCGGUUGAAGAAUCCGACCUCGACAAGCUCCCUUUCCUCAGGUGUGUCGUCAAGGAGGCGCUACGCAUGCACCCGCCCAUCCCCGUGCUCCUCCACGAGGCCGCCAAGGACUGUGUUGUUGGCGGCUACUCCGUACCGAGAGGUUCCCGCGUGUUGGUCAAUGCAUGGGCGAUCAACCGCGACAGCGGGGCCUGGAAGGAUGGCGACACAUUUCGACCAGCACGGUUCAUGCCCGGCGAGGGCGAGGCCGCCGGUCUAGACCUCAAGGGAAGCUGCUACGAGUUCUUGCCGUUUGGGUCUGGCAGACGCUCAUGCCCUGCGCAGGGGCUCGGCCAACAUGCGGUUGAGUUCGCCAUCGCGCAGCUGGCGCAUGGUUUCAACUGGAAGCUGCCCGACGGCAUGAAGCCAACAGAGCUUGACAUGGGUGACAUUUUUGGCCUCACCGCGUCACGCUCCACACGGCUCUAUGCCGUGCCCACGCCCCGGCUCACCUGCCCCAUGUAA
This 1548-nucleotide ribosomal RNA is filed under the name Triticum aestivum (bread wheat). RNAcentral's name for it is "partial small subunit ribosomal RNA". The record is from RNAcentral. Lineage: Eukaryota; Viridiplantae; Streptophyta; Magnoliopsida; Poales; Poaceae.